UAUGAACGCUGGCGGCGUGCCUAAUACAUGCAAGUCGAGCGAACGGACGAGAAGCUUGCUUCUCUGAUGUUAGCGGCGGACGGGUGAGUAACACGUGGAUAACCUACCUAUAAGACUGGGAUAACUUCGGGAAACCGGAGCUAAUACCGGAUAAUAUUUUGAACCGCAUGGUUCAAAAGUGUAAGACGGUCUUGCUGUCACUGAUAGAUGGAUCCGCGCUGCAUUAGCUAGUUGGUAAGGUAACGGCUUACCAAGGCAACGAUGCAUAGCCGACCUGAGAGGGUGAUCGGCCACACUGUCACUGAGACACGGUCCAGACUCCUACGGGAGGCAGCAGUAGGGAAUCUUCCGCAAUGGGCGAAAGCCUGACGGAGCAACGCCGCGUGAGUGAUGAAGGUCUUCGGAUCGUAAAACUCUGUUAUUAGGGAAGAACAUAUGUGUAAGUAACUGUGCUCAUCUUGACGGUACCUAAUCAGAAAGCCACGGCUAACUACGUG
Molecule: ribosomal RNA, 497 nt
Filed under: uncultured bacterium
Lineage: Bacteria
Description: partial 16S ribosomal RNA
Rfam family: Bacterial small subunit ribosomal RNA
Source: RNAcentral